Molecule: ribosomal RNA, 444 nt
Filed under: uncultured bacterium
Lineage: Bacteria
Description: bacterial SSU rRNA
Rfam family: Bacterial small subunit ribosomal RNA
Source: RNAcentral
UAGUCCACGCCGUAAACGAUGAGUGCUAGUUGUUGGAACUUUCAGUUUCAGUGACGCAGCUAACGCAUUAAGCACUCCGCCUGGGGAGUACGGUCGCAAGAUUAAAACUCAAAGGAAUUGACGGGGACCCGCACAAGCGGUGGAGCAUGUGGUUUAAUUCGAGGCAACGCGAAGAACCUUACCAGGUCUUGACAUACCUAUCGCGGAUUUCAGAGAUGAUUUCCUUCAGCUUGGCUGGAUAGGAUACAGGUGCUGCAUGGCUGUCGUCAGCUCGUGUCGUGAGAUGUUGGGUUAAGUCCCGCAACGAGCGCAACCCUCAUCCUUAGUUGCCAGCAUUUAGUUGGGCACUCUAAGGAAACUGCCGGAGUUAAUCCGGAGGAAGGUGGGGGAUGACGUCAAGUCUUCAUGGCCCUUACGGGCCUGGGGCUACACACGUGCUACAAU